GCCAGGUGUGGUGGCUCAUACCUGUAAUCUCAGCAGCUCAGGAGGCUGAGACAGGAGGAUCAUGAGUUCAAAGCCAGCCUCAGCAACAGUGAAGCCCUAAACAACCCAGUGAGACCCUGUCUCUA
RNAcentral lists this small RNA (125 nucleotides) under Marmota monax (woodchuck). Lineage: Eukaryota; Metazoa; Chordata; Mammalia; Rodentia; Sciuridae. The record is from RNAcentral.